CCUACGGGUUGCAGCAGUGGGGAAUAUUGGACAAUGGACCAAAAGUCUGAUCCAGCAAUUCUGUGUGCACGAUGAAGGUCUUCGGAUUGUAAAGUGCUUUCAGCAGGGAAGAAGCAAGUGACGGUACCUGCAGAAGAAGCGACGGCUAAAUACGUGCCAGCAGCCGCGGUAAUACGUAUGUCGCAAGCGUUAUCCGGAAUUAUUGGGCGUAAAGCGCGUCUAGGCGGCUUAUUAAGUCUGAUGUGAAAAUGCGGGGCUCAACUCCGUAUUACGUUGGAAACUGGUAGGCUAGAGUAUCAGAGAGGUGGGCGGAACUACAAGUGUAGAGGUGAAAUUCGUAGAUAUUUGUAGGAAUGCCGAUGGGGAAGCCAGCUCACUGGAUGAAUACUGACGCUGAAGCGCGAAAGCGUGGGGAGCAAACGGGAUUAGAUACCCUCGUAGUC
Molecule: ribosomal RNA, 443 nt
Filed under: uncultured bacterium
Lineage: Bacteria
Description: bacterial SSU rRNA
Rfam family: Bacterial small subunit ribosomal RNA
Source: RNAcentral